RNAcentral lists this small nuclear RNA (107 nucleotides) under Peromyscus maniculatus bairdii (prairie deer mouse). The record is from RNAcentral. Lineage: Eukaryota; Metazoa; Chordata; Mammalia; Rodentia; Cricetidae.
GUGCUCACUUCAGCAGCACAUAGACCAAAAUUGGAACGAUACAGAGAAGAUCAGCACGGCCCCUGCGCAAGGAUGACACGAAAAUUCGUGAAGUGUUCCAUAUUUAA